Cryptomeria japonica (Japanese cedar) is the source of this 1335-nucleotide RNA transcript. RefSeq lists it as uncharacterized. The transcript is spliced from 5 exons. Lineage: Eukaryota; Viridiplantae; Streptophyta; Pinopsida; Cupressales; Cupressaceae. The record is from RefSeq and is a predicted model, not a curated record.
AACGUAUUCCAGGAACGGUCUUGUUUUUUUUUUAUAUUACCGUUAAAAAAGCUGGAUUUCAUCUCUAUUUGUGGGCAGUUCACCUGCGAAGAGGGGCAGAUUGUUCCCUAUUGUGUUGCUAUUUUUUUUUGGUUUUGUUUGCCUUUCAGAUUGUUCCCUAAUCUGUUUUUUUGUUUUUUGUUUCUGGCAUGACCAUGCCCUUUCUUCCUUCUGCUUCUGAGUUUUGCGUUUUUUCUUUUUCAUUUUUUGGUUCAUGGUAUUUGUAAAUGUUUUGUGUGUGGAUGGCAAUUAUUCAAUGGUAAAUCAGUUUGACCAUGAUAGGCCUUGUUUUUUGUUUGUUCAUUAUUUUUGUUCGCUCUGGCCUUCACAAGUCGUUUCUGGGUUGUUCAUUUUGCUGGCCCAGGGUACACUACAAUCUCUGGAGUUGCCAAUGGAGCUGGCUCAGGGAGGAGCUCAAGAAGAGCUAUAAAUAGGCCAACCCUAAAGCCAAGGGUGGCUGGCACAGCUGCUGGCCUGAAGUGGACGUGGAAUUUGAUUGUACAGUUACACUCACCUGCAAUGGCUUUAUUUGUUUUUAGACGUGGAUCUCAACGAUUCUUGAGUGGUUCAUUUUUAUUUAAUCAAUGUCGGUAUUUCUGAAUGAUGGUCUUGUUUAGUAUUAUAGUCUGUUUGUUAAAAGAUGCUGAUUCAAUCAUUUUGAAUACUGAAUUUAGUUUGCAGUGAGGCCUGCAAGAAGGAUGUGCCUUUAGCAACUGUAGAUAUGCAUAAUUGCUAACAGGAUGGGAAAAUCUGGACUAGUUUUGGUUUGUUGUUUUAGGAUGCUUGGUUUGUUGUUUUAGGAUUGCUUGUAUUUAUUCUCUUUUAGGUUUUGGUGGACUACCACUGUGUUAUAUACAAGUAAUGGAGGUUUUUAUUUGUGCUAUAUGCUGGUGUAGAAGCCCCAAAAGCACCACAAGAGCCCAAUUGUGCAGAGGCUAAGAAACCAGGAGAGGUCAAUGAGUUAGAUAUCGAGCGAGAAGAAGAAAAAGCCCAAGAAGGAGAAGGGGGUUAAGGAUCCAAAUUUGCCAAAAAGACACAGACUCCUUUCUUCUUUUUCAUGUUGCCAAAGAUGGUGCUGAUAAGUGGAAGUCUUUGUCAGAUGAGGUUUGCAGCUAGGCUAUCAUGUAGUUAUGUUGUAAUAUAUUGAGAAAGUUGUUGAAUUGAAGGCACUAAGUACAAAAAAGGAAUUUUGAGUGAAAGGUAAGAUUGCUUUGAUCUAAACUUUAGAUGUAAAAAUUAAAAUGUUUAAAUUAUGUUAAUCUUUAAAUUGCUCUUGAUGUAAUUCCAUUUAUUUAA